UUUAAAAAUGGCGAUGGGGUUCGCCUCUAACCAUCCAUAAAGGAUUGAUGACUCCUACUGAAAC
This 64-nucleotide non-coding RNA is filed under the name Candidatus Schekmaniibacteriota. RNAcentral describes it as "Candidatus Schekmanbacteria Fluoride sequence". It matches the Rfam family "Fluoride riboswitch aptamer (crcB RNA motif)". The record is from RNAcentral.